This 435-nucleotide ribosomal RNA is filed under the name uncultured bacterium. Its description in RNAcentral is "bacterial SSU rRNA". It matches the Rfam family "Bacterial small subunit ribosomal RNA", at positions 355 to 796 of the family's 1533-position model. The record is from RNAcentral.
UCGAGGAUCUUCGGCAAUGGGCGCAAGCCUGACCGAGCGACGCCGCGUGCGCGAUGAAGGCCUUCGGGUUGUAAAGCGCUGUCGAGGGGGAGGAAGGCCCGCAAGGGCUUGACCUAUCCCUGGAGGAAGCACGGGCUAAGUUCGUGCCAGCAGCCGCGGUAAGACGAACCGUGCGAACGUUGUUCGGAAUCACUGGGCUUAAAGGGCGCGUAGGCGGCGGAGCACGUCCGGGGUGAAAGCUUUCGGCUCAACCGGAAAAGGGCCUGGGAUACGGCUUCGCUGGAGGGGGGUAGGGGGCAGCGGAACUUCCGGUGGAGCGGUGAAAUGCGUUGAUAUCGGAAGGAACGCCGGUGGCGAAAGCGGCUGCCUGGACCCUUACUGACGCUGAGGCGCGAAAGCCAGGGGAGCGAACGGGAUUAGAUACCCCUGUAGUCC